Cataglyphis hispanica is the source of this 2420-nucleotide long non-coding RNA. RefSeq lists it as uncharacterized. The transcript is spliced from 4 exons. The record is from RefSeq and is a predicted model, not a curated record. Lineage: Eukaryota; Metazoa; Arthropoda; Insecta; Hymenoptera; Formicidae.
UCGCCGAGGUAUGUAAUCGGAUCGUGAUCGCUCCGUGUUUUUGCGUCUUUUUACCCGAUUCAAACGAAUAUUGCGUAUUAAUAAAUAUCGGAAGUAUCGAAUUUGACUACGAGCGAUCGUUUCUCGUUGUGUUAAUGUGAUUCGCGACGUCAUAAUUAUCGAGUCUCAAUAAUCGCGAUCGGUACGUGCCUUUGUUCAUCGCCUUUAUUGGAACAGUCCAUUUUUCUGGAUGCGCAUUUCACUUAUAUAUUUCACGUAACAUUUGCUCGUUCACCGAGUACUAUCUAGUAUCCGAAUCAUCGAAAAGCAUCGAAAGACAUUGAAAGGAGCAUCGUCAAGAGGAUAUCGAGGAAUUAUUGUAACUAAUUAAUGUAAGUGAUUCGGCUUAUUUGUGAUAUUCGCGAAUGUUCGUUAUCCGCCAUGAUAGUGUGCGCAUCCUUAAUAAUAUCAGUAGUGGAACGCUUGAUAGCAAGUCGGAGUAUCGGGUGCAUAUACUUCGAGAUAGAGUGCGCCCUCCAAUUAGAAGUAAAAAGACAGCAUUAUUAAUAUGAGAGGAAACUCAGAGAUGCAGAAAUUUCCUUGUUUAAUUCUCCAACUGCACAAUAUCUGUGCCCGGGACAUUUCAGUGUGUUGGUAAUUCGUAUCACCGUUUUAUGAUAUACGUAACUAUAAUAUUGAUCGCAUCUUGUUGAAUCGUUGUUCGUCAAGAGACUUCAUCUAUGUUUAUGUGAUAUUAUUCGCGAAUGUAAUCGCACGUCGGAAGUGCUGAAAGAAGGUGUAUGGACGUUUCAACGUAUCAGCUGAUCCGCGCGAUCAUGAUCGAACGUUUUCCGGUUUACGUAACCAUAAUAUUGAUCACAUCCUGUCAAAUCGCUGUUCAUCAAGAGACUUGAUCUAUGUUUAUAUGACAUUAAUGUCGAAUGUAGGCGUGCAUCGGGAGUGUCGAAAAAGUAUACGGGCGUUUCAUCAGCUGAUCUGUGCGAUCACGAUCGAACGCUUGAUUGUGAUCGAAUGUAUUUUUCAGUGAUAGUGAAAGUGUUUGUUUAAAAUUGUACACAUUCUAUGGUAUUCGUUGUGUAAUUGAAUGCAUCGUAAAUGGAUCGAAGAACAUCUAGGAGGAUCGAGAGAUCAUGGAUUAUUGAAAUAGGAGAUCGCUGUCGUCUAUCGUGAACGCUUUGUCGACCAACGAACGGCAUGGGAAACGACGCGAGGUAAAAUCGUAAAAGGAAACGGAUCGACGGAGAUUAAAAGAGCGAGAAAAUGCUUUAUUGCUUGCCCAACUCACCUUCCUCGGUGAAAUGAGCGCCGCCCACCUUCACAUUGCCGUUGACUGUAAAAGGAAGCGUCGAGAGAGAAAGAGAGAUUCACCUGACAUUCUCGAUGAAGAAUCGAUGAGAAGAAUCGGAUGCGAGGGAAGAAUCGGCAAUGAAGCGAAAGUGCGUAACUUCCACGGCACCCGGACCAAUCUCUCUCUCUCUCUCUCUCUCUCUCUCUGUCGGUGAUGGAACGGGAAGGAAGAAAAAAGGGUGGAAGAACCGGCAUGAUGAUUUCUGGCCAGGACUGUACCACUACCACUGGGUGACAACGUAGUUUCCCAUGUUUUAUGGUCAGUUCCGUGCGCCAUGGUAUCUGAUUGCGUCAUAAAUCGAACGAGAAACGGCGCGAGGGUUGUAGCGCGCGCGAUACACACGACCUACGAUUUCGUUUGCCGAAAUUUAGCGGUCGCGUCUCGUCGUUCUUUUUUCUCACACCAUACUCGCAUUCCAAAAGAAAUAAAAUCUGCAGUGUGUAAAUAAUCGUUGUGAAAUACAAUAUUACAGGAAUUAAUUUUACUAGAGACGAAAAUGUAUAUCUAAAUUUAUAUUAAUACGCGAUUUUUAAUUGGAUAGAAAAUAUAUUAUAUAUUUAAAUUAUAUAACAUUUUAUAGUAUAAUAAUAGUAGACAUUGGAUUAAAAAUACAUAUAUGUAUAUUCUCUAAUUGACAUCGCCAAUUUACAUAAUUUAUUUAUAUGUAAUUAAUUAGUUAUUUCUGUUAAACGUAAAAUCCAAAGUAUUUUCUCUCGCGUGUGCAAGAACUUUCAAAUUUGGAUUUUUAAAGCAACAAAACAAUAUAUUGUUUAGAUGCAAAUCACUGUAUCAUAUGUCUAGCGGAAUGUAGAAUACAUUAAUGAAAAAUAGUUCUUGCAGAUGCGCGGUACGUGUACGCUUAAGUGGUACAUUUCUCCUACGGUAUCAGGUUCUUGCUUGCUCUGGCAUCUCCACAUUUUUCUUGGGUUUACUCGCCAUGCCUCUAACCACCGUAAUAAUUUUAAACAGCGCGUUAUAAUUUUACACGUUUUGUUUAGUUAUUUAUUUAUAUUUAUCUCGGCUGUCAAAGAUCAGUUGACGCACGGUGCUGAUAACGAAUCAUAAAUUAAGA